AAACAAAACCCAAUUCGAAAUCCCAUCCCGCGUCGCCCAGCACCUGCCCCUCCUGCCCAGUGCCACCCCGCGACGACCAUUACUCGGUCCAGCGCCACCCCGCACCUCCCAUCCCUCUGUCCUGCACCGCCCUUCGUUCCUCCCCUGUCGCCCCUGCUCCGAAGACUUUUUCUUUAGGGUUUCUGCAUUUUUGUAUAGACAGACUCAUCACAACUAUAUAAAGUCACCAGUCAUUUUUGUUUCUAGGGUUUUGGUGCCUCCAUUUUCUUCGCUUCGUCUAGACUCAGAGACAAAAAUAGAGCGAAAAUGAAGACCAUUCUCUCGUUGAAGACUAUGGAUGUCCCAGACGGCGUAAAAAUCAAGAUAAAUGCCAAGAUGGUUUUAUUUCUCUUCUUUUGAGCAUUCAAAACGUGGUUGACAGAUGAGGAAGAACAAAAUACAGCGGACUACCAACCAAGCAGUAAAUUGGUUAAGUGGACUCUGAGAAAACAAAAAAAAUGCAAAGAAAAAGAUGCACAAUUGUGCACUAAUUUAGACACAUUCGCAGAAGGAAUUAAGUUUUGAACGGCUUUGUGUCACUUCUUUCAGAUGGAGGAUUUUGACAAUAUUUGAAGGGACGAUAAGACCAGAUUUUCAUUUGCUAUGUAUUAAUUAGUUCUUGUACAACUUUAAUUUAUACCUGUUGGAGACUAAGCAUGCACUGAUCUCUGUAUAAGUUUAUUUCAUGUGAAUGAGAUGAGGGAAUUUGGCAAGAUUGCAAAAUGGUUUUCAU
This is a long non-coding RNA of Juglans regia (Persian walnut), 772 nucleotides long. RefSeq lists it as uncharacterized. NCBI's taxonomy places the organism in Eukaryota, Viridiplantae, Streptophyta, Magnoliopsida, Fagales, Juglandaceae. The record is from RefSeq and is a predicted model, not a curated record. The transcript is spliced from 2 exons.